AUUGAACGCUGGCGGAAUGCUUUACACAUGCAAGUCGAGCGGCAGCGCGGGGCAACCUGGCGGCGAGCGGCGAACGGGUGAGUAAUGUAUCGGAACGUGUCCUGUCGUGGGGGAUAGCCCGGUGAAAACCGGAUUAAUACCGCAUACGAUCGAGAGAUGAAAGUGGGGGACCGCAAGGCCUCACGCGAUAGGAGCGGCCGAUAUCUGAUUAGCUAGUUGGUGGGGUAAAGGCCCACCAAGGCUUCGACCAGUAGCUGGUCUGAGAGGAUGAUCGGCCACACUGGGACUGAGACACGGCCCAGACUCCUACGGGAGGCAGCAGUGGGGAAUUUUGGACAAUGUGGGCAACCCUGAUCCAGCCAUUCCGCGUGAGUGAAGAAGGCCUUCGGGUUGUAAAGCUCUUUUGUCCGGGAAGAAACGGUUUUGGCUAAUAACCAAGACUACUGACGGUACCGGAAGAAUAAGGACCGGCUAACUACGUGCCAGCCGCCGCGGUAA
RNAcentral lists this ribosomal RNA (498 nucleotides) under uncultured bacterium. RNAcentral's name for it is "partial 16S ribosomal RNA". It matches the Rfam family "Bacterial small subunit ribosomal RNA", at positions 30 to 523 of the family's 1533-position model. The record is from RNAcentral.